This 497-nucleotide ribosomal RNA is filed under the name uncultured bacterium. RNAcentral's name for it is "partial 16S ribosomal RNA". It matches the Rfam family "Bacterial small subunit ribosomal RNA", at positions 28 to 507 of the family's 1533-position model. The record is from RNAcentral.
GAUGAACGCUGGCGGCGUGCCUAAUACAUGCAAGUCGAGCGAACAGAUAAGGAGCUUGCUGCUUUGACGUGAGCGGAGGACGGGUGAGUAACACGUGUGUAACCUACCUAUAAGACGGGGAUCUCUUCGGGACACCGGAGCAAACACCGGAUAACAUCUUGAACCGUAUGGUUGUAAAGAGAAAUAUGGUUGUGCUGUCACGUCUCGAGGGACCUGGGCCGUAUUAGCUAGUAGGUAAGUUAACGGGUUAUCAAGGCGACGAGGCGUAGCCGACCUGAGAGGGUGAUCGGCCACACUGGAGCGUGGACGCGCUCCAGGCUCCUGCGAGACGCAGCAGUAGGGAAUCUUCCGCAGUGGGCGGAAGCCUGACGGAGCGGCGCCACGUGAGAGGUAGAGGGUUUCCGCUCGUAAUGAUCUGUUAUUAGUUAAAAACCGAUUUGUAAGUUGCUGUGCACUUCUUGACGGUACCUAAUCAGAAAGCCACGGCUAACUACGUG